Ostrea edulis (European flat oyster) is the source of this 933-nucleotide long non-coding RNA. RefSeq lists it as uncharacterized. The record is from RefSeq and is a predicted model, not a curated record. Lineage: Eukaryota; Metazoa; Mollusca; Bivalvia; Ostreida; Ostreidae. The transcript is spliced from 3 exons.
CACACAUUAGUGGAUUUUAUCCCAUGGAGGUGUGAAUCAUUGCUUGCAUGGGGAGCUUACUGAAGAGGAGAGAACUAAAGCUUGGCUCUCGCCUACCAAGCAUUCUCAUGUUCUGAAGGAUUUGGCAUAUGUUGUACUGGACAAAAGGCUUCUUAAUAAUGUUGGAUACUUUUUGAAAUUCAGGAGUACAGCUGAUUUGGAAGGCUUUCACCAGCACCUCCUUAUGUAUUGUUCUAAAAGGUUUGCGUACACUCCGCCAGUAUACAGAGCCAGAAACAGGUUUGCAGCUCUGGAUCACAAUAUGAAUGUUGACCGACCAGUACAGAGGAACAAAGAUGGGAAAAUCAGGUAUCACCGAGUGUUCAACAAAAAAAGUGGACGAUGGACUGUUCAUGCAGUUAAAACCAGAAAGCAGUACAAUUAUAUUCAUUCCCUUCUAGCAAGUGCUCUGAUUAUGCGGAUCCAUGAUAGAAUUGGAAUGAAGUUGACCACAUUGGCCCCUGAUGAUCCACGUAUCAUCUCAAAACAUUUGGCAGCCCAAGAACCACCCCCCACAGAGGAGCUUGUAAGACAGCAAAAGUCCCGAUUUACUGAAUAGUUCAUCUCUUCAAAGAAACAAUGAAUGUCUGUUGCUCAAAUGUCAUCUAUUACUGACAUUUCUGGGACUCCAUCAUGAAGAGUUUGAUACAUGUAUCCUGUCAUUUUAUUUCAUAGUUUAUUUAUUGUUUAGGUCGGACUGAAUCAGGACUUUAACUCUUGCCAAAAUGUUGAAAUUUUUCAUGUUUUUUAAUGCAUGAAGUCAUUGUAAAUAAUAAUGCUACUGACCAAAUUUGAAGUGACUUUUUUUUGUAUAACUUAUCUACAUGAGUUUCAGAUAGGUGUAAAGAAUUUACAUGUGAAACAAAUUCAAUUAUUCCACUUUCAAAAAAUAAA